RNAcentral lists this long non-coding RNA (857 nucleotides) under Cyanistes caeruleus (blue tit). RNAcentral describes it as "lncRNA (ENSCCEG00000012988.1)". The record is from RNAcentral. Lineage: Eukaryota; Metazoa; Chordata; Aves; Passeriformes; Paridae.
AACCAUUCCAGAUGACCCUGGCCAUUAGCAGCAGGCUAUUAACGCAGCACUGAGAUUCUGUUGGUGUACUUCUCUGCCAUGAGAGUUCUCUAACUCUCUCUGCUAACUUCAGAGUUCCUAUAUGCACACUGGCUUCCCUCUAGCCAUCUCCAAGCUGAAGAAAGAUGUCACUACCUCCACCAACUUGUAGGAAGAGAAUUGAAUGUGAGUGGCCUGCCUUGGAAAUUACUCUUCUGCCUAGAUAGCUGGGAUUUGAUGCCUUCGUCAUUCAGAGAAAAUGCAACAAUUAAGGUUUGCCACCCAGGAGAUUUGGAUUUCUUCUUUCUAUUGCAGUGAAUAUCCUGUAAUUUUUCAGCCAAUUCCAAAAAAUGGAUUGAACAAAUGAGUUGACAAAGUACUAUAAUAAGAAAACCAUGAACUCACGGUCCUUUUAGUACAAAUUGAACAGUGCUUCAAUCAGCAGAAACAAAACUUCUCCCUGACUUAGAACUGCCCCUUCCCUGCAUACAGAUGGCCAGUUCAUGUAUUUAGGGGAUACUUGUUUAUUUUCCUGUUCUCCAGAAUGUCCUUAAGAGACUGACUCUUGUCUUCCCCAAGUGCCUGUGGCCAGAGGUGACAACACAAGGAAGAAUCCCCAAAGAAGCAUCCUGUCAGUGCAGACACUGCCUCGUUCUUCAGGAGAGCUAAUUGGGGAGGGACCAAGUCAAAUCUGUCACCUCCUGAAAAUAAUCUUUCCAGAAGAGAGUCUAUGCUUACUACAUUCCUCCUGAAAAGGAGAUUUUUGUCUUUGUAAUAUAUUUUAGCACCUCUGAACCACUUUACAAAGAGUACACAAAUAAAAAGAAAUGUUUUCUCCA